GCCCGGGUAGCUCAAUCGGUAGAGCGUGUGGCUCUUAACAGUAGAAAGUCUCCAACUGAAGGCAACAUGCUAAAUGGUCACCUCAAGGUCGUGGGUUCGAGCCCCACCUCGGGCU
The sequence is a transfer RNA, 115 nucleotides long. It matches the Rfam family "tRNA". From Rfam's summary of the family: Transfer RNA (tRNA) molecules are approximately 80 nucleotides in length. Their secondary structure includes four short double-helical elements and three loops (D, anti-codon, and T loops). Further hydrogen bonds mediate the characteristic L-shaped molecular structure. tRNAs have two regions of fundamental functional importance: the anti-codon, which is responsible for specific mRNA codon recognition, and the 3' end, to which the tRNAs corresponding amino acid is attached (by aminoacyl-tRNA synthetases). tRNAs cope with the degeneracy of the genetic code in two manners: having more than one tRNA (with a specific anti-codon) for a particular amino acid; and 'wobble' base-pairing, i.e. permitting non-standard base-pairing at the 3rd anti-codon position.